GAGCAGAUGAGGAGUCCCAUACUAGGACGAAACGGUCGUCCAGUGC
This is a non-coding RNA of Schistosoma haematobium, 46 nucleotides long. The record is from Rfam. Lineage: Eukaryota; Metazoa; Platyhelminthes; Trematoda; Strigeidida; Schistosomatidae.